This 1570-nucleotide ribosomal RNA is filed under the name uncultured bacterium. RNAcentral describes it as "16S ribosomal RNA". It matches the Rfam family "Bacterial small subunit ribosomal RNA". The record is from RNAcentral.
UUUACGGAGAGUUUGAUCCUGGCUCAGAACGAACGCUGGCGGCGUGGAUUAGGCAUGCAAGUCGAACGGAUUUCUUAGCUGUUUCGAGAAAUCAGUGGCGAAAGGGUGAGUAACACGUGGGUAACCUACCCAAAGGAUUGGGACAACCAACCGAAAGGUUGGCUAAUACCGGAUAAGACCACGACUUCGAGAGAAGAUGAGGUCAAAGAUGGGGAUCUGCUUCGGCGGACCUAUCGCCUAUGGAGGGGCCCGCGGCCUAUCAGCUUGUUGGUGAGGUAAUGGCUCACCAAGGCUAUGACGGGUAGCUGGUCUGAGAGGAUGGUCAGCCACAUCGGGACUGAGAUACUGCCCGGACUCCUACGGGAGGCUGCAGUCGAGAAUCUUUCGCAAUGGGGGAAACCCUGACGAAGCGACGCCGCGUGCAGGAUUAAGGCCUUCGGGUUGUAAACUGCUGUCGCCUGGGACGAACAAUGUCCAGGUGAAUAAUCUGGUUAUUCGACGGUACCAGGAAAGGAAGCCACGGCUAACUCUGUGCCAGCAGCCGCGGUAAGACAGAGGUGGCAAGCGUUGUUCGGAUUCAUUGGGUGUAAAGGGUGCGUAGGCGGCUUGGAAAGUCAGAUGUGAAAUACUACAGCUUAACUGUAGAACUGCAUUUGAAACUUCCAGGCUAGAGUGCAGGAGAGGUGAAGGGAAUUCCCGGUGUAAGGGUGAAAUCUGCAGAUAUCGGGAAGAACACCUGUAGCGAAGGCGCUUCACUGGUCUGUUACUGACGCUGAGUGCACGAAGGCGUGGGGAGCGAACGGGAUUAGAUACCCCGGUAGUCCACGCAGUAAACGAUGUUCACUAGGUGUCGGGCGAGUUUCAACUCGUUCGGUGCCGCAGCUAACGCAUUAAGUGAACCACCUGGGGAGUACAGUCGCAAGGCUGAAACUCAAAGGAAUUGACGGGGACCCGCACAAACGGUGGAGCAUGUGGUUUAAUACGACGAUACGCGUGGAACCUCACCCAGGCUUGACAUGUACUAGAAAGCCUUAUGAAAGUAGGGCCUUCCCUCAAGGACUGGUACACAGGUGUUGCAUGGCUGUCGUCAGCUCGUGUCGUGAGAUGUUGGGUUAAGUCCCGCAACGAGCGCAACCCCUAUCCUUAGUUGCCAGCACGAAAGGUGGGCACUCUAAGGAGACUGCUUACGAUAAGUAGGAGGAAGGUGGGGAUGACGUCAAGUCAGUACGGCCCUUACGCCUGGGGCUACACACGUGCUACAAUGGUCGGUACAAAGGGUCGCCAAACCGCGAGGUGGAGCUAAUCCCAAAAAACCGGCCCCAGUUCAGAUCGAAGGCUGCAACUCGCCUUCGUGAAGCUGGAAUCGUUAGUAACCCCGUAUCAGCCACGACGGGGUGAAUACGUUCCCGGGUCUUGUACACACCGCCCGUCAAGUGAUCCGAGCUGGGAGUACCCGAAGUAGUUUGGUUAACCCGCAAGGGAAGCCGGCUGCGAAGGUAAAACUAGUGAGGAGCACUAAGUCGUAACAAGGUAGCCUUACCGGAAGGUGAGGCUGGAUCACCUCCUUUCU